Molecule: long non-coding RNA, 780 nt
Filed under: Pongo abelii (Sumatran orangutan)
Lineage: Eukaryota; Metazoa; Chordata; Mammalia; Primates; Hominidae
Description: lincRNA
Source: RNAcentral
GGUGUCCUCCUUCAUCCCAGGCUGCCAGGCUAGGCAGGGGGCAGCGGCUGCCCUGGUCCUCACAGCCCUGGCUGCGGGGCCGGUGACAGCCAGAUCCUCAUGCUUCUGCGACCACAGCGCUGCCUUCAGACACCUCUCUGCUGGCAUAUUCCUGGGUCCAUGUGAGCUACCUGUUUUGCUCUAAGAUAUCCUGGAUGUGACGCUCAGCUCUGUCACUGGCUUCCACAUACUCCCUACUCCUACACCUCAAAAAUCCGUGUUCCCCACGCAUUCAUCUUCAGGAUGGAAGAAGGAAAAGUAUUUUUAAAAGGCAAUCUAAAGCUCAUACUGUGACUGCAACAUAAAAUGUGUUCACCUUAGGAGACUGCUUUCACCGCAAGUGGGUCACCGGGCAGCUGAUCCAGGACCGUCCACUUCCCAGCCAGCAGGAGGAUGGAAAAGCGGAAUGGAGGGGGAGACAACCUCCUUUGCAGGGCGUGACUGGGAAGUUGGACAUAUCAUUUCCAGCCGCUUUCCAUGGACCAGAAUUAGCCCUGUGACCAACUCUGGCUGCCAGAAAGUCUGGGAAAUACAGUCUCUGCUUGGGCGAUCAGGCAGGCAGUUAUAUCUUUGGGAACAUCUCUCACCCCCUGGGAACACCUGAGCAGAAACUGAAGGACAUUUAACAGAUUCCCCUUUGUGUCUAAUAAGAAUUCCCCCCCCAUCAGUCGGGGCUCUCCUAUGUGCUGGGUACAUAGGUCAUCUUUACACAACCCAGCAAUGGAGAGCACACCAUUCCCA